CCUGUAAUCCCAGCACUUUGGGAGGCUGAGGCAGGAGGAUCGCUUGAGCCCAGGAGUUCAAGACAAGCCUGGGCAACUUAGGGAGACCCCGUCUCUACCAAAAAUAAAAAAAUUAGCCAGGUAGAGUGGUACGUGCCUAUAGUUCCAGUUACCCGGGAGGCUGAGGUGAAAGGAUCGCUUCAGCCCAGAAGUUCAAGACUGCAAUGAGCCCUGAUCGCGCCACUGCACUCCAGCCUGGGUGACAGAUCAAGGCCCUGUCUCAAAAAAUAAUUAAUUAAAUACUUGACCCAUUGCACGAUCUUUCCAUGCACGACAGCUGCUCUUCUAUUAUUCUUCCAGGAUGAGCUGCACAGCCUGCCCCCUUGGGUUUCCAGGUUGUGGGAGAUGAGCAAAACUGAAUGACCUCAGUAGGCCAAGAGCAAAGGAUGUGGGUCCGGACCUGGUGGCCAGUUGCUUGUGACAGGAGCUGGGCUGGAGUCCCCAAGUGCCACUAGUGCUGACAUCUUUUAACUGUGUUCAUUGUGACUUGUUUAUUUCUAAAAGUAACCACUGGCGCCUUGGUGCAGAUGGAACUCCAGGUGCAUGCGGUGAGUUAACCAUGGUCUGGGGAGCUUUGUUUCCACGCCUAGGACAUGCAUCUGUGUGCAUGAUAUGUGAGCUGAUAUAGCCAUGCCUCUGGUGAUUUGAACGCCUGCGCUUCCCAGCUGCUUCAGGGCCCUGAACAUCGCUGGAUGUUUGUACUUCAUUCCCUCCUCAGCCCAGCUGGUCCCACUCCGCAGCUGUGCUCUAGGCAUUUCAUCUCAACUGGGUGAUAUAUUUGAAUACAGCAAUUAUAAGAACAGCAACCUCAGAAGAACAUCUGGCAUCCAGACCUCCCCAGCCUAGUUCCACAAGACCAUCAACAAGAUUUCAAGGCUUUAAAGAAAGGAGCUGCUUCAGG
This 940-nucleotide long non-coding RNA is filed under the name Homo sapiens (human). RNAcentral describes it as "HSALNT0386721". The record is from RNAcentral. Lineage: Eukaryota; Metazoa; Chordata; Mammalia; Primates; Hominidae.